This 60-nucleotide transfer RNA is filed under the name Fragilariopsis kerguelensis. RNAcentral describes it as "partial tRNA". It matches the Rfam family "tRNA", at positions 12 to 68 of the family's 71-position model. From Rfam's summary of the family: Transfer RNA (tRNA) molecules are approximately 80 nucleotides in length. Their secondary structure includes four short double-helical elements and three loops (D, anti-codon, and T loops). Further hydrogen bonds mediate the characteristic L-shaped molecular structure. tRNAs have two regions of fundamental functional importance: the anti-codon, which is responsible for specific mRNA codon recognition, and the 3' end, to which the tRNAs corresponding amino acid is attached (by aminoacyl-tRNA synthetases). tRNAs cope with the degeneracy of the genetic code in two manners: having more than one tRNA (with a specific anti-codon) for a particular amino acid; and 'wobble' base-pairing, i.e. permitting non-standard base-pairing at the 3rd anti-codon position. The record is from RNAcentral. Lineage: Eukaryota; Bacillariophyta; Bacillariophyceae; Bacillariales; Bacillariaceae.
UCAGUUGGUUAGAGUUUUAGAUUGUGGUUCUGAAAGCCACAGGUUCGAAUCCUGUUAUUC